GAUGAACGCUGGCGGCGUGCCUAAUACAUGCAAGUCGAGCGAACAGACGAGGAGCUUGCUCCUUUGACGUUAGCGGCGGACGGGUGAGUAACACGUAGGUAACCUACCUAUAAGACUGGGAUAACUUCGGGAAACCGGAGCUAAUACCGGAUAAUAUUUCGAACCGCAUGGUUCGAUAGUGAAAGAUGGCUUUGCUAUCACUUAUAGAUGGACCUGCGCCGUAUUAGCUAGUUGGUAAGGUAACGGCUUACCAAGGCAACGAUACGUAGCCGACCUGAGAGGGUGAUCGGCCACACUGGAACUGAGACACGGUCCAGACUCCUACGGGAGGCAGCAGUAGGGAAUCUUCCGCAAUGGGCGAAAGCCUGACGGAGCAACGCCGCGUGAGUGAUGAAGGUCUUCGGAUCGUAAAACUCUGUUAUUAGGGAAGAACAAACGUGUAAGUAACUGUGCACGUCUUGACGGUACCUAAUCAGAAAGCCACGGCUAACUACGCG
This 497-nucleotide ribosomal RNA is filed under the name uncultured bacterium. RNAcentral describes it as "partial 16S ribosomal RNA". It matches the Rfam family "Bacterial small subunit ribosomal RNA", at positions 28 to 507 of the family's 1533-position model. The record is from RNAcentral.